Molecule: non-coding RNA, 71 nt
Organism: Cucurbita pepo subsp. pepo (vegetable marrow)
Lineage: Eukaryota; Viridiplantae; Streptophyta; Magnoliopsida; Cucurbitales; Cucurbitaceae
Source: the annotation of a RefSeq genome assembly
GCGCAUCUAAUGUAGUGGUAUCAUAGUACCCUGCCACGGUACUGACCGGGGUUCUAUUCCCCGGAUGUGCA